CCUACGGGAGGCAGCAGUGGGGAAUAUUGCACAAUGGGGGAAACUCUGAUGCAGCGACGCCGCGUGAGUGAAGACGUAUUUCGGUAUGUAAAGCUCUAUCAGCAGGGAAGAAGAAAGACGGUACCUGACUCAGAAGCCCCGGCUAACUACGUGCCAGCAGCCGCGGUAAUACGUAGGGGGCAAGCGUUAUCCGGAUUUACUGGGUGUUAAGGGAGCGUAGACGGCUGUGCAAGUCUGAAGUGAAAGCCCAGGGCUCAACCCUGGGACUGCUUUGGAAACUGUGGAGCUAGAGUGCUGGAGAGGUAAGUGGAAGUCCUAGUGUAGCGGUGAAAUGCGUAGAUAUUAGGAGGAACACCAGUGGCGAAGGCGGCUUACUGGACAGUAACUGACGUUGAGGCUCGAAAGCGUGGGGAGCAAACAGGAUUAGAUACCCCAGUAGUC
This 441-nucleotide ribosomal RNA is filed under the name uncultured bacterium. RNAcentral describes it as "partial 16S ribosomal RNA". It matches the Rfam family "Bacterial small subunit ribosomal RNA", at positions 338 to 795 of the family's 1533-position model. The record is from RNAcentral.